Molecule: long non-coding RNA, 3348 nt
Organism: Olea europaea var. sylvestris
Lineage: Eukaryota; Viridiplantae; Streptophyta; Magnoliopsida; Lamiales; Oleaceae
Exons: 6
Source: RefSeq, a predicted model, not a curated record
GGCCCCAAAUCCUUUCAUUUGAAAUACCCUCCACCAUGGAAAUACAAUUUGGCAGUGAGAUUCGAUGACUUCUGCGAAUUCUUGCAGUGGAUGAACACCUCUAGAUUUUUGACCAACACACAUACAUCUAGCCAUUGUUAACCUCAAACGUGAGAUCUCCAAUUUACCCAAAGAUAGAAUGCAACCGCCACUUGAACGUCCAACAGAAAUCAGAGUUUUGGUGCCAACUGAAGGUUAUUUACCUACUAAAGAAGUGAUUACGGUGUCAUAGGUCCGUUUUACCCCAGUAUAGGGGACGAUCACCACUGCGACUCCACACAUCCAAUAGAAAUCAGGUUGUUGGUGUCAACCGAAGGGAAAUUCACCUACUUGAGAAGUAAUUACGGUGUCUUGGGAGUGACAGAGAAAGGAAAAGAACUAAUGGACCUAUCAGAUGAUGAAGUUUUUAGAAUCUAAUAAUGAGAACAAUAUGGACAAUAUAAUGACGUGGAAGAUGACAUCUUUGGAGGAAAUAGUGCGAUUGUGCCUGAGGUGGGUAUAAAAUUCAAAGAUGAAAAAGAGCUGUUUGAAUUUUACAAGAGGUACGCAUAUAAGGUAGGCUUUUCGGUUAGGAGAAGGAAUUCUGGAAAUGGAGGAUGGAGUAUUGAGAUACAUUAUGUUGACAUGUUGCCGUGAGGGAUGAAGAAGCAGUGAUACAAGCUCUUCUUUGAAACUGCAACCAACAAUUCAAAUAGGUUGCAAAGCAAGUUUGAUUGCUUCUUCAAAUAUUCGUGGAAUAUGAAAAAUUUGUAUUGUCUAUCUCAAACACAAUCAUAAAACAAGUUCUUCAAAGUCCAGGUUAUAUUGAUGCAAUUGAGUGCAAAUGUUAAACGCAAGCUUGAAGUGAAUGAUGUGGCCGAAAUUUCUUUGUAUAAGAGCUAUAAUUCUACAGUUGUUGAAGCGGGUGGAUACGAGAAUAUGACUUGCGUGGAAAGGGAUUUGAGCAAGUGAGGUGAUUGAGACUUGGUCAGGGAAAUGUCGCGGCAAUACAAUCUUACUUUUCACAAAUGCAAGAAUGAUGCUUGGGAUUUUUCUUUUGUAUGGACUUAGAUGAAGAGUCAUGACUUAAGAAUUUUUUUUUGGCAAAUAAUAGGUGUAGACAAGCAUAUAAAGAGUUUGGAAAUGCAGUGACGUUUGAUACGACUUAUCUCACUAAUAAAUAUGACAUGCCUUUUACAUCUUUUGUCGGAGUAAAUCAUUACGGACAGUCAACACUUCUUAGUUUUGGCUUGUUAUCAAAUGAUAAAGCAUAUACACUUGUCAGCCAGAACAUGGAUGCAGUGCAAGCAUGGUCAAGCUCCCAAUGAAAUUAUUACCGAUCAAGACAAGGCUAUGCAAAAUGCAAUUCAGAUAAUCUUUCCAUAUACGAGGUAUAGAUGGUGUCUUUGUCACUUAUUGAAGAAGUUGCCUAAAAAAUUUGGGUACCAUGUCGACAAGAGCUCAAUUUUUCAUGUAUACACGAAUUAGUGUAUGAUACACAACUUGUCGAAGAAUUUGAAGGUUGGAGAAUUAUGCUUGAUACAUAUAACUUAUAUGAUAAUGAAUGGCUGUCGAGGUCGUAUAAGACUAGGGGUCCUUGGGUGCCGUGUUUUUUGAAAAUCACUUUUUGGGUAGAGAUGCUAACAACUCAACGAAGUGAGAGUAUGAAUACAUUCUUCGAUGGGUAUGUGCACUCUAAGACAUCAUUGAAGUAAUUCGUUGAAUAGUAUGAACGAACAUUACGAAAUAAAGUUGAAAAGGAAUUCCAAACAGAUUUUAAGUCUUACUUACAGAUGGUGCCUUGUGCAACAAAAUAUGAAAUAGAAAAGUAAUUUCAAGCAGUUUAUACUAUUUCGAAGUUUCAAUAAUUUCAGGAUGAGAUAACUGGGAAGGUGUAUUGUGAUAUGAUAUCUAAUUUGGAUAAUUGUUCAGAGAAGACCUAUGAGGUUGAAAAUGAUGUCAUUCACGAAAAAAGGUUAGGAAGAAAACGUUUCGUGCAGAGGGUUGUAUUAUUAUUUGUAAUUGUCACCUAUUCGAGUUUUGUGGAAUUUUAUGCAGACAUGCCAUAUUAGUGUUGAUGCGUAAUGACAUCACAUCAUUACCAAUAUAUAUCGAGGAGAUGGAGAAUGGAUGUUAGUAGAGCCCACACGAGGGUUGCUGUGAAUUAUGAUAGUUUGGUUAGCACUUCUAGCCAGCUGAGGUACGAUAGAAUGUGUGAAGUAUUUUCGUCAUUGGUAAACAUUGCCGCAGAUGAUGAAGAGUGAACUCGUGCGAUAAUAGAUUGGGUUCGAUUGCAAUCUAAAGACAUAAUGUCUAUAAAGUCGAGUUAUGGAAGCAAUACCAUUUCCCAGCCUAGUUUGCAUUUAGGCUCCCAAUCUAGAUCAUCACAAGACACAGACAAUGGGAGAAUACAAGAUCCUCAAAGCUUGAAAAAGAAGGGUACGCCAAAGAAACUGCGUAAUAAAAGCCCGUUGGAGUGCAGCUCGAAGAAAUCAAAGCUAGCAAUGUCUUCAAGCAAAGGACAGAGAUUGAAAGUGAUGAAAAAAGGCUCGGACAGGAUGCAUCUAUUGGCCAGACCAACCAAUAAGCACAAAACUUGAUGCAAAUAAUAUUUGGUGACGACGAAAGUCAUGCACUAACAUAACAACUUUCAACUUCAAAUGUCUUUGUCAAUCACCAAGGUAAUGCAAUGCCAUACUACUAUCUCAAUUUUCGAUACAACAAUGGAACACAAUGUGGAGUCAUCAAGGAGAUACUUAGAACAUCUGCAAUGGGCUUUUUUCUAUCGAAUUUCACGGUCCAUUGCCUCCUCCGAGUGCUAUAGCAAGUUGGAUGUCAAGUGUCACCAAUUCCAUUCCCUAGGCUGCUAUUGCUAGAGGUCCAUCGAGUGUUGUUUAGAUACCUGGCUCCGGAAUGGCCUAUCAAGCUGCUGAAAGUGGUAUUGGAAUGGUAUCCCAAAAUGCUUGAUCAUCAAGGAGGGCAGAAUUUAAUCCUUCCAAUGCAUCUUAACAAGCGGGGUAUGAAAAAAAAUGUGGGAGGAUAUAGUAAAAACGCAUGGUGCGAUGGCCGGAUGGACAAUGCUUGUCCUGUGUUCCUUUGACCGAUGUAUAACAAUUUUUUCUAUAACAUUCAGCACUAAGCAUUUUUGUAGUUCAUUUGGAAGACGUGUUGUUAUCUUUUAUGUUACAGAAUUGAUUCAUGUGGUUUGAUUAUUUGUGUGACCCAUAUGUCCCAAAGAAAAUCAAUUUGAUAACUUGUAGCGGGCUAGUUAAAAAUGCUUCAAGUUUCUGUUGUAAUUGAGUGUGUAUAGUUGCAAGGGGAAGCAUUUAU